GAUAAACGCUGGCGGCGUGCUUGACACAUGCAAGUCGAACGAAGUUUUUCUUUCGGGAGGAACUUAGUGGCGGACGGGUGAGUAACGCGUGGGUAACCUGCCCUGUACAGGGGGACAACAGCUGGAAACGGCUGCUAAUACCGCAUAAGCCCUUAGCACUGCAUGGUGCAUAGGGAAAAGGAGCAAUCCGGUACAGGAUGGACCCGCGUCUGAUUAGCCAGUUGGCAGGGUAACGGCCUACCAAAGCGACGAUCAGUAGCCGAUCUGAGAGGAUGUACGGCCACAUUGGGACUGAGACACGGCCCAGACUCCUACGGGAGGCAGCAGUGGGGAAUAUUGCACAAUGGAGGAAACUCUGAUGCAGCGACGCCGCGUGAGUGAAGAAGUAUUUCGGUAUGUAAAGCUCUAUCAGCAGGAAAGAAAAUGACGGUACCUGACUAAGAAGCACCGGCUAAAUACGUG
This 462-nucleotide ribosomal RNA is filed under the name uncultured bacterium. Its description in RNAcentral is "partial 16S ribosomal RNA". It matches the Rfam family "Bacterial small subunit ribosomal RNA", at positions 28 to 507 of the family's 1533-position model. The record is from RNAcentral.